CGCUACGCUCCCUGGUCCACGUCGGGGCUCCGACCGGAGGCGCGUCCCUGGAAAGGCAAGGGGCGCGAGAGGGGCCGGGCCUACCCCGCUGCGCCGCAGGGACCCCGGAAUGGACCUGACGUUGGACUGAGCACUGACCUUAGAUUAAGGACCCUGAAUGAUACAUCACUUCAUGGCAUUGUGUGUGGCAAAUUGUUUUCAAAGAUGGCGCCAACAAUUCCAUCCUCCCUGUGACCUCAUGCCACUCCUCCCAACAAGUGGUGGAAGAUACCUCUCCUCCCCUUGAACCGAGCCUGUCUUUGUGACUUGAUUUGACCAAAAGAAUGCGGAGGAAGGGAUGCUCUGCCAGUUCCAGGCCCAGGCCUUACAAGACCUGAUAGUGUCUGCUUUUGGCCUCUUGGGAUUUGGCCACCAUGGAUAAGCUCAGGCCAGAGAGCUGAACGGCAAGAGCCUGCCUGGGGAGGGAGAGGCCCGGUCAGCUCCCUGCUCUUCCAGCCCCAGCCAAGGAGCCAGACAUGUGAGUGAAGCCAUCCUGGAUGUUCCAGCUCCGGCCAAGCUCUCAGCUAAAUGCAGCCACGUGAGUGACCUCAGCCAACUCAAUACAGAUCAGAAGAACUAACUGCCUGGCCGAGGCCAGCCAACCCACAGAAUCAUGAAAAAUAAUAAAUUUUUAUUGUUUUAAGCCACUAA
Balaenoptera ricei (Rice's whale) is the source of this 690-nucleotide long non-coding RNA. RefSeq lists it as uncharacterized. The transcript has 3 exons. Lineage: Eukaryota; Metazoa; Chordata; Mammalia; Artiodactyla; Balaenopteridae. The record is from RefSeq and is a predicted model, not a curated record.